Molecule: non-coding RNA, 98 nt
Organism: Pelobates cultripes (western spadefoot toad)
Lineage: Eukaryota; Metazoa; Chordata; Amphibia; Anura; Pelobatidae
Source: the annotation of a GenBank genome assembly
CCAGCUCCCUCACGCACCGCACUGAUGCCGGAGCCGGAAUAUGACAUCAUAUUCCGGCUGCGGCAUCAGUAUGCGGCGCGUGAGGGAGCUGAACAGGG